GACGAACGCUGGCGGCGUGCUUAACACAUGCAAGUCGAACGGAAAGGCCCCUUUGGGGGUACUCGAGUGGCGAACGGGUGCGUAACACGUGAGUAACCUGCCCUUGACUUCGGGAUAACUUCAGGAAACUGGGGCUAAUACCGGAUAGGAAUCCUUGCUGCAUGGUGGGGGUUGGAAAGCUUCGGCGGUUUUGGAUGGACUCGCGGCUUAUCAGCUUGUUGGUGGGGUAGUGGCUUACCAAGGCUUUGACGGGUAGCCGGCCUGAGAGGGCGACCGGCCACAUUGGGACUGAGAUACGGCCCAGACUCCUACGGGAGGCAGCAGUGGGGAAGAUUGCACAAGGGGCGGAAGCCUGAUGCAGCAACGCCGCGUGCGGGAUGACGGCCUUCGGGUUGUAAACCGCUUUCAGCAGGGGCGAAGCUUGUGGUGACGGUACCUGCAGAAGAAGCACCGGCUAACUACGUG
This 465-nucleotide ribosomal RNA is filed under the name uncultured bacterium. RNAcentral's name for it is "partial 16S ribosomal RNA". It matches the Rfam family "Bacterial small subunit ribosomal RNA", at positions 28 to 507 of the family's 1533-position model. The record is from RNAcentral.